Molecule: ribosomal RNA, 478 nt
Filed under: uncultured Lachnospiraceae bacterium
Lineage: Bacteria; Bacillati; Bacillota; Clostridia; Lachnospirales; Lachnospiraceae
Description: partial 16S ribosomal RNA
Source: RNAcentral
CACGUAUUUAGUCGGGGCUUCUUGGUCAGGUACCGUCAAUGUCUUCCCUGCUGACAGAGCUUUACAUACCGAAGUACUCCAUCGCUCACGCGGCGUCGCUGCAUCAGGGUUGCCCCCAUUGUGCAAUAUCCCCCACUGCUGCCUCCCGUAGGAGUCUGGGCCGUGUCUCAGUCCCAAUGUGGCCGCCCACCCUCUCAGGCCGGCUACUGAUCGUCGCCUUGGUGGGCCGUUACCCCGCCAACAAGCUAAUCAGACGCGGACCCAUCCCGCACCGCCUGGGCUUUCCGCACAGCCCCAUGCGGGGCCGUGCGCAUAUGCGGUAUUAGCAGCCGUUUCCGGCUGUUGUCCCCCAGUGGCGGGUAGGUUGUCCACGCGUUACUCACCCGUCCGCCACUCAGUCACAGGGCGUUCGUCUCCGAAAAAGUCCGCCCCAGUCGCUUCGUUCGACUUGCAUGUGUUAGCACGCCGCCAGCGUUCG